RNAcentral lists this ribosomal RNA (120 nucleotides) under Pteropus alecto (black flying fox). Lineage: Eukaryota; Metazoa; Chordata; Mammalia; Chiroptera; Pteropodidae. The record is from RNAcentral.
GUCUACGGCCAUGCUACCCUAAACAAGCCUGAAUCCCGUCUGAUCUUGGAAGCUAAGCAGGGUCAGGCCUGGUUAGUACUUGGAUGGGAGACCACCUAGGAAGACCAGGUGCUGUAGGCA